ACGGCUAAAUGAGGACAGAUCUGUCUCUUACAACUAAUCAGUGAAACUGAUCUUUCAGUACAAAAGCUGAAAUACCAACAUAAGACGAGAAGACCCUGUGGAGCUUUAAACCUACCACUAACAAAACUUAAAACUAUUUUUAAACUAGUGGAAAGUUUUGAGUUGGGGCGACUUCGGAAUAAAACACAACUUCCGAGCACAGAACCACUAAUUCUUACUAAGGCCAACAAGCCAAAGUGUAAAACAACAGACCCAGUCAUACUGAUCAACGAACCAAGUUACCCCAGGGAUAACAGCGCUAUCUUCUUCAAGAGUCCAUAUCGACAAGAAG
This 331-nucleotide ribosomal RNA is filed under the name Ophiomorus punctatissimus. Its description in RNAcentral is "partial 16S ribosomal RNA". It matches the Rfam family "Bacterial large subunit ribosomal RNA", at positions 1996 to 2515 of the family's 2925-position model. The record is from RNAcentral. Lineage: Eukaryota; Metazoa; Chordata; Lepidosauria; Squamata; Scincidae.